RNAcentral lists this ribosomal RNA (456 nucleotides) under uncultured bacterium. RNAcentral's name for it is "bacterial SSU rRNA". It matches the Rfam family "Bacterial small subunit ribosomal RNA", at positions 15 to 518 of the family's 1533-position model. The record is from RNAcentral.
GAUCCUGGCUCAGAACGAACGCUGGCGGCAGGCUUAACACAUGCAAGUCGAACGCACCGCAAGGUGAGUGGCAGACGGGUGAGUAACGCGUGGGAACCUUCCCUUUGGUACGGAAUAACUUCGGGAAACCGAAGCUAAUACCGUAUAUCUCCUGCGGGAGAAAGAUUUAUCGCCGAAGGAUGGGCCCGCGUUGGAUUAGCUAGUUGGUAGGGUAAAAGCCUACCAAGGCGACGAUCCAUAGCUGGUCUGAGAGGAUGAUCAGCCACACUGGGACUGAGACACGGCCCAGACUCCUACGGGAGGCAGCAGUGGGGAAUAUUGGACAAUGGGCGCAAGCCUGAAUCCAGCCAUGCCGCGUGAGUGAAGAAGGCCUUAGGGUUGUAAAGCUCUUUUGGCGGGGACGAUAAUGACGGUACCCGCAGAAUAAGCCCCGGCUAACUUCGUGCCAGCAGCUGC